Molecule: ribosomal RNA, 503 nt
Filed under: uncultured bacterium
Lineage: Bacteria
Description: partial 16S ribosomal RNA
Rfam family: Bacterial small subunit ribosomal RNA
Source: RNAcentral
AACGAACGCUGGCGGCACGUUUUAAGCAUGCAAGUCGAAUGGCAGUGGGGGCAACCCCAUGAGAAUGGCGAACGGGUGAGUAACACGUAGGUGAUCUGCCUGACGGAUGGGGAUAGCUUGUGAAAACACAGGGUAAUACCGAAUGAGCUGACGAGACUUUGGUUUUGUUAGUAAAGGUGCUACGGCACCGCCGACAGAGGAGCCUGCGGCUGAUUAGCUAGUUGGUGGGGUAAAGGCCUACCAAGGCGACGAUCAGUAGCCGGCCUGAGAGGGGGUACGGCCACACUGGAACUGAGACACGGUCCAGACUCCUACGGGAGGCAGCAGCUAAGAAUCUUCCGCAAUGGGCGAAAGCCUGACGGAGCGAUGCCGCGUGAUCGAUGAAGGUCGAGAGAUUGUAAAGAUCUUUUCUACAUGAGGAAUAAGUCUGGGAGGGAAUGCCUGGAUGAUGACGUUAGUGUAGGAAUAAGCCCCGGCUAAUUACGUGCCAGCAGCCGCCGCCG